RNAcentral lists this ribosomal RNA (696 nucleotides) under Triticum aestivum (bread wheat). Its description in RNAcentral is "partial small subunit ribosomal RNA". The record is from RNAcentral. Lineage: Eukaryota; Viridiplantae; Streptophyta; Magnoliopsida; Poales; Poaceae.
AUGGCGCCGCCGACCAUUGUAGAGAAAGAAAUGGACGACAUGUUCAAAGAAGGCAUAUACCCAACGAUUCAGGAGGUCACCGAAGCGCUCAAACCAGAGGGCGGUAUGGUACUCGGAUCAUUGGAUGAGUGCUUUUUCUUUUUCUGUAGAUAUGCGAGAAGGGUUGGCUUUGCUGCCAAGCGAUCAACGAGCAGAAGAUCGACAUAUGAUCAGCAGCUUGACAAGCAGGUGUUUCAGUGCACAAAGGAAGGGAAGAAUAAAACAAUUGAGAGACAUGUUAAGGAGAGAAGAAGCAACUGCUUGAUCUGGACAAGCUGCCCAGUCCAAAUAACAACCAAGAGGGAUACAGAUAGGAGGAAAUGGUAUCUGAAGAACGUGCGCCUAGAGCACAACCACCAACUUCACCCAUCCAAUUGGAUGCUGAAGUUCAUGAGAUGCUAUAAGAAGAUGACACGUCAAGAGAAAUUCUUUAUACAAGUGCCGCAGAAGGCGAGGUUAGAACCAAGGAAGGUUAUGCAGAUUUUUACUGCCAUGGGGAAACCGAGGCGAGAAAUUAUGUUCGACACGAUUGACAUAAGCAACAUUGCAUGCCGGGACAGGGAGGCGGAGGCCGGGAUUCCACCAUGUGGAAGAGACAAAGAACAAUGUAGUGCGGAGCCUGUUCUGGACAGACUCCUUGUGCAAGAUGAAUUAUGA